GACGAACGCUGGCGGCGUGCUUAACACAUGCAAGUCGAACGGAAAGGCCCUGCUUUUGUGGGGUGCUCGAGUGGCGAACGGGUGAGUAACACGUGAGUAACCUGCCCUUGACUUUGGGAUAACUUCAGGAAACUGGGGCUAAUACCGGAUAGGAGCUCCUGCUGCAUGGUGGUGGUUGGAAAGUUUCGGCGGUUGGGGAUGGACUCGCGGCUUAUCAGCUUGUUGGUGGGGUAGUGGCUUACCAAGGCUUUGACGGGUAGCCGGCCUGAGGGGGUGACCGGCUACAUGGGGACAGAGAACCGGGCCACACCUCCAGGGGGGCCGGCGGGGGGGAUUAAUGAAAAUGAGGGGGAAGCUUGUGGAGGGGACGCCCGGGGGGGAGGGGGGGCCUUGGGGGUGUAACCGGCUUCCCCCGGUGAAAAAGCGGUGGGGAGGGUAAUGGGGAAAGAAGCACGGUAGAACUAUGU
This 467-nucleotide ribosomal RNA is filed under the name uncultured bacterium. RNAcentral describes it as "partial 16S ribosomal RNA". It matches the Rfam family "Bacterial small subunit ribosomal RNA", at positions 28 to 506 of the family's 1533-position model. The record is from RNAcentral.